Molecule: microRNA precursor, 198 nt
Filed under: Oryza punctata
Lineage: Eukaryota; Viridiplantae; Streptophyta; Magnoliopsida; Poales; Poaceae
Description: MIR1435 microRNA precursor family
Rfam family: MIR1435 microRNA precursor family
Source: Rfam by way of RNAcentral
UGACUUUUUUCUUAAUCAAACUUUUUUAAGUUUGAUCAAGUUUAUAGAAAAGAUAGAAACAUUUUCAGCCCAAAAUAAACAUAUAUCAAAAUAUAUUAAAUGUUAGUUUUAAUGAAACUAAUUUUGUGUUGUAGAUGUUAUUAAAUUUUUCUAUAAACUUGGUUAAACUUAAAUAAGUUUGAUUAGGAUAAAAAUUAA